This is a long non-coding RNA of Mytilus californianus (California mussel), 1098 nucleotides long. RefSeq lists it as uncharacterized. The transcript is spliced from 2 exons. NCBI's taxonomy places the organism in Eukaryota, Metazoa, Mollusca, Bivalvia, Mytilida, Mytilidae. The record is from RefSeq and is a predicted model, not a curated record.
ACUGUCUAUAAUAAAUUCAUUUAUAAAAGUUACACUAGUCUUGCUUGACACAUUGCGCUUCUAAAUUUGUCUUUAAAAAAAUGCCUUCAGAAUAAAAAUUUUACAUAGUUCCCAUACUAUAAUUACUAUAUAAGAUAUCUUUGUUCUGUCAAUAAAUCAAUGAAUGAAAUUUAAAAAGAACCCGCUGAAGUCUUCAGAAGAUUUAAAUUUGAUUAUUUUCUGCAUGUUAUACGUUUUUUGGUGCCGUCUUCAAUUACCAGGGAAUAUCAUCCUGCUUCCCUAUCUCUCACGUCUUCAUAUAUUAACUAUAAUUUGCAUGUUUCUUUAAAGCUUCUUUUAAUUACCCGGCGUCUUCAUAUGAUUGUAAAUUAACAAUAUAACGACAAAUACAACUGUAUUUCUUAAUUUCCCCUGGACUUUGUUAAUACACCAGUGCACAUAUUACACGUUUACCUGAAUAUAUACGCAUCCGCUUUUGACGAAGUACUUCCUUCAACAAAAUGGCAGCGCAAGGUUCUGGUUAUGCUGUGUUAUCCCGCUGUGUAUAGAUUCCUGUAAAGAUGUAACUCACACGUGCCCGAAUUGUAGACAUGUUGUUGGGAAGUAUAGCCGAAUGUGAUAACUGUGAACCUCUGAUAAUCAAGCUUCUGUAUAGCUAUUCAAUCCUCUGUUAUAUACUUUUUUUCAUACUCCAGGCACUGACCAAUCAUCUUGAAUUCCUUUUAGGGGAAGAUGUAGGAGCAUGGAAUUUAUUGGAAUUCAAUAACAAAUUCUUGGUCAUGUACGUUAUGAAUUUGUUUGUUUGUUUGACAUAAGUAAAAAUUGUUAGUCCUGAGAAAAUAAAACACGCGUAUGAUGCCCCCCCUCCCCCUUUGUUGGUCUGUGCCUUAUAUAAAGUAUUUGCAUGUCUUCAGUGUAUGCCCUAGAGAUUAAACUGUUAGUAAUUACUUAAUAUGUGAUAAGCCUACAUUGCUGUGUUAAUUAUGCAUACUUUUUAACAACUUGAUUAAUGUCCAUUUAUUCUGCACAAAUGUGUAGUUUAUUAUUAUACAAGUACUUUAUAGAUCGGUCAUAUAAAAAAAACAUUAUCGGUUCGAA